GUGGACAAAGAGAGGGACCUGGAAGAACCAGGUUGGUUCCAAAAAUACCACAUUUUGUUGAGGAAGUCGUACCUUUGUACAAUGUGACUGACUUUAAAAGUCAUUUCAGACUGUCGAGAGGACAAGUAGAGGAUGUUAUGAUGACGUUGGGACCAUUCUACACAAACAGACAGCAUACCAAGUUGCCAGUAACCCACGCUGUUCUUGCCUGCCUGUGGACUCUAGCCAACCAGGAGUCAUAUAGGGGUGUUGCAGACUGAUUUAACAUUUCAAAAUCCACCAUCCACCAUGUCAACCCAUCUCAAUUACAUUUUCAAACAGCCGGCUUUCCAAAUACAGUCUUUGCUCUUGAUGGAUGUCACAUUCCCAUUGUUAAACCAUUUUGCAACAACCCCAUAGCCUAUUAUAACAGGAAACAGUUUUACUCCAUCAUUCUCACCGGAUUCUGUGACAGCCAGCGCCGCUUUUGUCAUGUCAAUGUAGGACACCCUGGAAGUUGGCAUGAUGCAAGAGCAUUUCGAUACACUGAUGUAGCAUAGCAACUGGAAUUGAAUCCUCAGGCUCUGGUACCAGAGGGAAUGCACAUCAUUGCUGAUUCAGCCUACCCUUUGUCGCUACAUUUGAUGAAGCCCUACAGGGAUAAUGGGCACCUUACUGUUAGGCAAAGGCGCUUUAACAGAAAGCUCAAUGCAGCUCGUGUGGCCAUUGAGCAUGCAUUUGGCAUCCUAAAGUCAAAGUUCAGGAGGCUCAAGUGUCUGCACAUGAAGGAAGUGGCAAACAUCAGUGCAGCAGUCACAACAUGUUGCAUUCUACAAAUUUGUUUGGAUUCUGGUGACCGGGUUGAUGAAGAUGAGCAGGGUCUUCUUCAACAGGACACUGAGGAUCCACACCCACCACAGCCCAACAAUCAUGAUGCCUGUCAUUACAGAGACAUGAUCUGUUCCCACCUUUAAGGAUAAGAUACACUUUAGUUUAUAGUCAUACCCCCUUUUUUUCCUGUUUUCAUUUACACGUUUUUGUGAGCUGGUAUGCCACAGGGUGAUGUAAGGCACCUCGGGUCAAAUGCCAAGUUCAAAGUAGUAAUACAGUGUUUUAUAAGGCUCUAAGGAGGUUUGCAGCAAAUGUGCAAAUGUGUGUGUCAUUAUAACCAAUUUAAUUACUUUAACUUUUGAGACUGUUACCUUACAGUUUUAACCUUAAGGCAUUUUGAUUUUGAAGUGCCUCUACAUUAUCAAGACUUAUGCUGUGCCUCCGAGUGGCAGCUCAUGGUAACUGGGUGGUAAGAACCCAGGCUAAAUCAGCAGGGGAUCGUGAGAGUAUUUCACCACUGGAAAUGUGAACCAUCUAACCACUGCUCAUUUUCUGGUGUUUAAGUUUCUUUAUGUAUCAAUAAGACAGCCACAUAAUAUCAUUUAACAUAUUUUUAGUAAUUUUCUUUCAACAACGAAAUUAUUUCUUGUUGCUGCUUUCCUAUUUCUUCAAGUUGGGUCAAGAUUUGACCCAUGCAGGUCACCAUCUUCUUUUCAUGUGACCUUUUUUCUUUUAGGAGUCUUGUAACUUCUGGCCUCACCAGUGACUCCAACGCAGCAGUCCUUCUCUCAGCAUGGGACCGAUUACAAACUAAUUCACUGUACCUGUCUGGGAUUCUGGCUGUCCGGAUGAAAAUUGAUGGAAGCUGCCUGAAGAUGAUGACUGCUGUGGUGGGUUGGUUUCAGGAGUAGGGCUCGGUGUGACGGUUGUUGGUUGUGUAUGGACCGGAGUGUGGGUAACUAUAGGCUGGGGAGUAG
Perca flavescens (yellow perch) is the source of this 1787-nucleotide long non-coding RNA. RefSeq lists it as uncharacterized. The record is from RefSeq and is a predicted model, not a curated record. NCBI's taxonomy places the organism in Eukaryota, Metazoa, Chordata, Actinopteri, Perciformes, Percidae. The transcript is spliced from 4 exons.